CACAGGCCGAUCACAGGCUAAGAGGAAAGAAGCUCCCUGUGUAUCCCUGGAUGGCUUUGAUGAGAAGAUGCAGGUGGAGCUGUGGAACGAGAUUGUCUCUAUUCAGAAUCUAAUCAAAGGAGCUGGGUCUAUCUGAUACAUGCUAUUCUCACGGCAGAGGAGACAGAGAGCACUUUCCCAACCCCUUGAAUCAGAGCUGGCCUGUGACUUUCUGUGGCCAAGAGAAGGUGGUGGAUAUGAUGUGUGCCAGUAGAAGCCCAAGCCCUUGCAAACUUCUGCCCUCUCUCCAAAUCUCACCACCAUGGAAACAUGUGGAGACUAAAGUGUGGAAUUAGGAGAAGCCACAUGGAGAAGAGCUUUAACACCUGGAGGCCAUCCAGGACCAGCUGAUCACAAGUGCAUGAGGGGGUUGGGCUGAGAUCAGCUACUGAGGCCAGACUGGUACAGCAGACCUUCCAGCUAACACUAAGACCUGUGAGCAAAAAUAAAUGCUUAUUGAUAAAUGC
Molecule: long non-coding RNA, 506 nt
Filed under: Homo sapiens (human)
Lineage: Eukaryota; Metazoa; Chordata; Mammalia; Primates; Hominidae
Description: HSALNT0015353
Source: RNAcentral